GUAAAGGAAAGAUGGGAUCUGGAGCUUCUAGUACACAUAGGCACAGAUGUGAAUUUACUGAGGGGGAGGAAGACCAUUUCCCUAAGACGUGAAGCCAUCAACUCUCCUGCUGCCAAGAUGAUACCUCAUGUAAUCCCAGUGCUAUGCUGUGACUUCCGUCUGAUGCUUGACCCUCCACAAAGAAAAGUGGAGCAAAGAUGGGAUGUUGACAGCAUCCACACCCAGCAUACUGUAACCAUGACUCAGUCUUGUGUUCAUCCUAUGCAGCAAAGGUAUCAGCCUAAUUUUGCAAGGACCAUGUGUUUUGAAUCAGUGGUUCCAUAGCAGCAGCUCUGGAGAGAUCUGAUCAAAGUUAAGUUCCUAUCAGCACAGAAGCUCCAUGGAGGCAGUUUAUGUGUUUGGACUUAGACCGUGGUAAAGAGAAGCUCUGUUCCUUGGUAUGUCUGUUUGGAGGAGACAUCCAGAUUCUGAAGGAAUCCACUUCCUUCCUCAAGGGAUUUAAUAAAGAUUUAUUUUAACGAAGAUUACACUCCAGGGAUCCAUGAAAAGGCAAGAGCUGUUGUCCUCUGCUUGAUUUAAAAUGUUGGUAGAGAAA
Long non-coding RNA from Aquila chrysaetos chrysaetos, 595 nucleotides. RefSeq lists it as uncharacterized. The transcript is spliced from 5 exons. NCBI's taxonomy places the organism in Eukaryota, Metazoa, Chordata, Aves, Accipitriformes, Accipitridae. The record is from RefSeq and is a predicted model, not a curated record.